RNA transcript from Anastrepha obliqua, 4562 nucleotides. It is a transcript of the gene named signal transducer and transcription activator-like, with no coding region annotated. NCBI's taxonomy places the organism in Eukaryota, Metazoa, Arthropoda, Insecta, Diptera, Tephritidae. The record is from RefSeq and is a predicted model, not a curated record. The transcript is spliced from 13 exons.
UCUAUGUUGCGAAUUGCGAAGUGCAGUGACAAAUAUAUUUUUAAGUGCGUAAAUUAGUUGUUAAAUUUCAUAUUUUGUUUUCGUGUGUUCUUGUGUGCUCAAAAAUCAAAUAAAAUACAUGUGGGUGUGAUUGGUAUUGGAUUGGCAUCAAUUGUGAUAAUCGGAUCUUUCAAGUGCAUUAAAGGCCAAAUCAGUUAUCAACGUGUUGCGCUUUCACCGCGUGUGUUAAGCAAGGGCCUUGGAAAAAAUUUCUAUUGUCGAAGGCCCGGUCGACGCAGAAUCACAAACAAGAUUUCGCAGCGAAACGAUAAGUUCAAGAUAAACGAGUAAAAAAAAGGAAUAACAGAAAGGAGGUGCAAUUAAAAGCGUAGUUUUACAUUAAAAAAAUUAUAAUAAAAUCAUAAACCAAAUCCAUUCAUCAACACAUUUGGCCACGCAAAAUUCAUUCCUAGUAACAUUUCCGGUUGUGAAGUGCGUUCAUUGGAGUUUUCACACACUGUGGUGCAGGGAUAUCAUCAUCACCAUAUCACCAUCACCUUCACUGCUACUACCAUUGCCACCACAAACAUUACCACAAUUAGCACCGUCACCGCCGCUAUAACCACCACACAAACAUAGUUUGCCGGACUCGCCAUCAACGCGGCCACUUACACAUUCUCAAUUGACCAAAUGAAAUAAAUAAUCAUAACUAAACUAACAGUUUUGCACGAUUCGAUACAUUUUUCAUUUGUGUGCAUAAAAUCAGCAUUAAAUUGACAUAAAUUCACAAGUUGCUUAUUGUACUCAUCAACCGCCGCAAUGAGUUUGUGGUUGAGUGUUGGAUGCUUUCCCGAGCUCGAACAACAAAUGCGUGAGUACUACGAAAAGAAGGGUCUCACGGAAAUACGCGUGUGCUUAGCGUGGUGGAUUGAAGAACAAUUAUUAAUAAACCCACCUGAAAUAGCGCCAACCUAUGAAUUGGCCGUAAAAUUAGCAAACUCAUUCUACGAGGAGCUCAAACUAAAGCUCAAGUCUUUUAAAUCUAAUUGUGAUCAAUUUAACAAGGAUAUCUCACGAAUUUGCAAAGAUCUUCAACAAAUAGAACCUUUAAAGCUCUAUUCAUAUCUAAAAAGGGGUAUCGGACUGGAACUUCAGGCAUUGAAGGCAAUGCCUCAAAACCCCCACAUGUAUAAUCCGGCUGUUGUAGGUUGCAAUGUGAAUGGGAUCGGUAUGAAUACGUGUAAUCCAUAUUUGAGCGGUGUUGGCGGUCACCUCGGUGAUGUGCAUAUAGCCGAGGAUGCGUAUGCUUUGCCGGCGCGCAUACAAAAACUGGCUGUUGAUGUUGAGAAUAUGCGUUUGGCCAUACAGAGCGUCCAAGGCGAACAGGAGGCAAUUUGCAAAUAUUUCAAUCAGACACGUGCAAUGUUGACGCCACAGGAGAUACAGGAGCUGGAUAAUCAAUACAAGGACAAAUAUCUGAUUUUGUGUGAGCGUAAGCAGGUGGUAGUGAACGAUUUGCGACGCGUCAUCAGCGAAUAUGAUACGAUACAGGAUCAAGUGAUAAUGGCAUUGAAAAUGUGGCAACGAAAUCAAGCGUUGGCUGGCAAUGGGGCGCCAUUUCACGAUGACUUAGACGACAUACAACGCUGCGUGGAGAUGCUAGUCGAUAUGGUUGCUAAAAUCCAUGCUUUUGUCAGCAGUCUGCGGAUAAUGAGUGAGGGUGAAGAUUCCGUACUUACUGAUUUGCUAAAUCACGUACGAUCUGUACAAAAGAUGCUUGUCUUAUCUGCUUUUAUAGUAGAGCGCCAGCCUCCCCAAGUCAUGAAAACACAUACGAGAUUUGCGGCCGCUGUACGAUGGCUGAUUGGGCCGCAACUUGGCUUAUAUUCAAACAAUCCGAUUAUAGAAUGUGUUAUACUCUCAGAGGCCCAAGCCCAGCGGCAUGCCGCUCAUAACAGCAACUCAGAUAUGCAAACUUGCGCUCCUCAAUCCUCGGGCGAAAUAUUAAAUAACGUCAGCACAAUGGAAUACCAACAAGCGACACGCGUAUUUUCCGCAAGUUUCAGAAAUAUGCAGUUAAAGAAAAUCAAGCGCGCCGAAAAGAAAGGCACAGAAAGCGUCAUGGAUGAAAAGUUCUCCUUACUCUUCUACACAACAGUCGUUUUCAAUGAAUUCAAGAUUAGUUGCUGGACACUUUCCUUGCCUGUUGUUGUAAUUGUGCACGGCAAUCAGGAGCCACAAUCCUGGGCCACAAUUACUUGGGAUAAUGCAUUUUCUGAUAUAACACGCGAACCUUUCCAAGUUCCGGAGAAAGUGCGUUGGGCACAGCUGUCUGUGGCUUUGAACACCAAAUUUGGCUCGGCGACAGGCAGAAAUUUAACAGAAGAUAAUUUGAAUUUUCUUUAUGAGAAACUUUUCCGCAAUGAAGCAGGCGAGCAUGCAGAAUUCAUUACGUGGGCGCAAUUCUGCAAAGAACCUUUGCUAGAUCGAUCCUUUACCUUCUGGGAUUGGUUCUUUGCAAUUAUGAAAUUGACAAAGGAUCAUUUAUUGAAUCUAUGGAAAGAGGGUCUGAUUGUGGGCUUCAUAAAUAAACGCAAGACUUUGGAGGAAAUAUUGCCAAUGCAGCAGUGUGGCACAUUUUUGUUGCGCUUUUCAGACAGUGAAUUGGGUGGCAUAACCGUGGCUUUUGUCGAUGACCAGGGCAACAAACUUAUGCUGGCACCAUGGACGUCGCGAGAUUUGAAUAUACGCUGCUUGGCGGAUCGCAUACACGACUUGAACGUACUGCGCAUUGUUUAUCCAAAGAAUUUGCCACGAGACGAGGCAUUUGGCACCUUUUAUUCUCAUAAUAUUGAAGAACAAACAACACGCGAUGGUUAUGUAGCAAAUACAAUAAGGGCGCAUGUGCCGGCCAUAGAGGGUGGUUCUGUAGUGGGCACGCCGCAGCAUCAGCCUCAAGAUAUACCCAUGCCAAAUUAUAUCGAUGGUCUUGACGACAUCGAUUGGAAUAACGUAAUGGUCUGAAUUGGGUGGGCUGUAUGAAGACAAAGAAAAAUCUUAUUGGUAUAAUAAUGGUCAAUUGGUUAGUGGAGUGCAAUAACUCAUGUGCUCAAGACUGUUUAAGCAGUGACAAUUUUAUUUCUGAUUUCGAUUCAAUUUUAUAUUGAUGGAUGUGGAUAGACAUACACGCACAUGCAAUACACUUUUACCAUGGAAAACUAUUUAUAAUAAAUAAAAUAUGAAUAUAUACAAAAUGAUAAUUGGCUGGAAAAAAAAAUAUUUCGCAAUCGCGCUCGCUCACGCGCCUCAUCUUAAUAUACAUCCAUCUGUUUAAAUAUGAGCAACGAACGAGAGAUCCUUAGCGAGUAAAUAAAUAUAACAACAACAACAUAGCUAUUACCGAUAAUUCGCGCACACGCUCAUCUCACCAUCACCACCACCCACAACAAUCAACUGCGUGAGAGAUGGGCAUUAACUCCCUCUCCUUCGGUAAUGUUCACCUACCACGGCAAUUACGUUGGAGGGGAAUUUUCAUUCACUGACGAAGGCGAUCAUAUUCAAAAAUUGCUGAAUUUCUCAUUUUGCUGUUAUGGAAACUUGCAAUGAUUUAAUUUUACUACGUUUACGAAAGUAAAAUGAUUUAUGUAUAUGCGGGAAUUAUAGUGAAGUCAGCUACUUAAAAAAAAACACAAAAAACAAAAAAAAAACACAAAGAAGAAUGAAAUGCCUCCUUGUGCACGUGAGGAGGUCCAGUUGCCAUUUUGAAGGUUAUGAUGCGUUUACUUUCAUAUCACACAAGUCGCUGCUGAAUACAUAUAACUGUAGUUUACCGUUAUGCAUGCUGUACCGUCUUGAAAUUACAAUAAGUUUAUGUAUAUCUUUUAAAUACAUGAUUUGUAUUUUUUUUUCUUAACUCUUCUUACCCCUUCAAAUACUUUUGUGUUGAUGUUACCACAAAGCAUAGUUUAAACGUAAAUGUAAUAUUUUUAUACUCGUCGUUGCCUUAUAGUUACAGUAAACUUUUUUAUUAUUAUUAUUUUUAUUAAACUAUUUUUAAUAGUAAAAUGAACUAUUCGAUGUAUUGUACAAUUUUAUUAAUAAUAUUUGUUCUGUUGUGGUUAACCAAAACGAAACAAAAGUAAUCGAUUUUGAAUGUUUAUUGCAUGUCUGAAAUAUAUACCGCGUGGUGCUGUGCCCACGAAAUUUUUGAACUUUUUAAUGAACUGUUAAAUGUGAGGAAAAAAUUUUAUCGUUGAAGCAUAAGAAAUAAAAGUGAAAAUGUAAGAAGAAUAAAAGUGAAAAAAAUAAGAAGAAUAAAGGUGAAAAAAGAAGAAUAAAAGUGAAACAAAAAAUGAGAAGACGAAGAUAGAAAAAAUCGCAAACAGAGUUUAAGUCAACCACUGAGCGUUGCAAGUUUGACGUUUCUAGUUGUGUAUAAUUAGUCUAAGUGUGUAAUAAAUUUAAGUAGCAUUAAGAGCUCAUUCACUCCUAUGACAACCUAACGACACAUAUUCUUUUAAAAGUAAGUUACGAAUGUGAGCAACACCUUCUUGAAGAUGAGUAUUUUUUAUUUUAUUUUAAUA